Molecule: long non-coding RNA, 843 nt
Filed under: Salmo trutta (river trout)
Lineage: Eukaryota; Metazoa; Chordata; Actinopteri; Salmoniformes; Salmonidae
Description: lncRNA (ENSSTUG00000010433.1)
Source: RNAcentral
GAAAUAUUCCCCUGAUUGUGUAGUUUCUAAUCUGCAGCAACUUUAGUCUGUUCUACAACAGUUUUGUGUCUGUCUGUGUCUUAGUCAGGACAGUUCAUCCCAUGUGUCCCGGUGGGUCUACGAUGGGAGUGGAGGAGACAAGAUGGACAUGACUGUCACAGCCAGUACAACCGUCUUCUGAAUGUUGUUGACAUUAGAGGAAAUGGCUUCCUGGAUUCUAAGCAGCUGAUUGGAGCUCUGAACCCUCCCUCUCGUCAGGGGAAAACAGCUGUUUUCAAUUACCAACUCCUUCUCCAGCUGGAUAAAAGCCAGUGUUCCUUUUCAGGAGAAGAGAGAGUUUCUUUAAUGUCCUAUUUUGGUUGUUGCCCAGUAACAGUUUUGUUGAAAGUAUUUUGUUGCUGCUACUUCUGAGGUAUGUGUAUUCCUAAAGGACUGUGUUUUUGAUGAUUGAAAUUGUUCACUUUGUUAGUAAUUAUGUUUUUGUUCCCGGGGGAUGAAGGCACCUUGGGAGUGCUUAGGCAAGAGGCCUGCAGGCAUACAUAACCUGUAGUAUUUACUGUCUAUGCACACUAUGUAAGACCUGGGCGGACCACACCCUGUAUUUUGGUUAGCGCACCAGGAGGUGCUAAAAGGUUAGAUAAGUAGUGGGUAGCAAGGUAAGGUAGGAGAGGGACUCUAACUUUCUUUGCGUUGGUUCCAUCCAGCCCCUUUUCCCCACAUUACCCUGUUAAGGAAAUAAAUUCCCUGUAAACGGUAAUAUUCUCUGCCUCUGUCAUCCUUACCCGCACCUACAAUCACAUACCUCUUUCACUCCACGGGGAGUUGAGUGUAGCAGGGUGUUGC